CCGGGGCUAGUGUUUCUUCACUUGUUCCUGUUUGGGAUGACAUCAUGGUAAACUGGUUGCGUGUUCCUCCCACCCCUCUUCCCUGAGUAGUUUGCCAAUUAGGUAGGUUUCUAUAUAAGUGAAAUGUACCUAUCGCUUUACCUUGUUUCCUGCUCUUGUGCCCGCCUAUGUUUCUGAGCAUCUUUUGGUGAGAGGUACAUGUAACCGUGCAGUCUUGUUCCUCUGUUUUAAGGUUCAAUAUCCACAGCAGUGAAUGCAUAAACCUUUGUAUUUGUAGUUUCCUGGCUUGUAGUAAAUCGCUGGAUCCUACUGUGAACCAGUUGUUGCUGCAUAUGGGUAUCUGUGGGCCAGAGUGAGCGGUUCGCUUGCCUGAGGUAGCCUAAUAGUAAAGUGAGGGUGUGUCUUCACCAAUCAAGGUUUCCUCAAUGUGCUGCUGUUUUGCCUCUUUUUAUUAGUGCAACAUUACUUGCCUACAACUUAUUAACCACUUGUAGGUUUCCGCUGUGCUUAGGAUUUGGUAGGCUAAUCUAACUUUGUCAGAAGGGUGUUUCGUAGUUGUACUACACUUGCUACCCUGAACGCUCCUGAAGUGUAUUCAUGCUGGUCGUGUUUUACUGCCAUUGUGCAGCUGUUAAAUCUCCAUUCUUUUACAUUAAACGGGCUAAACUGCGUUUGUUGGCGGAGAUACGGGAAAGACUGGCCUACCCGAAUUGCCAUUUUAAUUUCGAAAUGAUCUAAACUGACCAACUGGUUCUUUGUAUCUGAUUCAUUGUUUUUAACUAGAUCUAUUACAUUGUUUAAAUUAAGGUUGGCGGUGAGCCCAGCGCUGCUCUGGUGGGGAGGUUAGUCGGUUAGGUCCCUCACUGUUUGCGUUCCUGUUAAUGGUAAUUGCACUGAAUCACUUAUUUAACACAAAUUUGAUUGUGUUUCAGAUGAGGUGGCACGCGUGGUGGUAAGUAGAAUUCACUUGGACAGCCCCUAUUGUUAGUAUACCUCCCACCGAGUGGAUUCUGGGCUCAUUCAUUACCGCCCUCUAGUCGUCAUUUUUAGUAUUUUUUAACAAAGUAGUCUGGAAGUCCGUGUAUGUAUUUUGAUGUUAAAUUAAUAAAAGUUGGUAUCAUUGCUUAAAUUCUUCUGCUAUUUUCUUGUACCUUCUAAUUGUUUUGGCUAUUUGAGCUUGAUUCUUCCAUACAGGUACUUCCAGCCCUCUUAAAUCUUAAUAAAAGUUAAAAUCAUUUCUUUUGAACCACGUCUCUGUCUUCUUUCAAUGAAAGAACCUGGGAAACUGUUGUAAAGUGUCAGAACUGGUUAUGUCCUUGGGUGAAAUUCCCAAGGUGGCUUAGUCUGGCUACUUACCCUUACCCAUUGCCACAAUUUGGCGUAUAUGUCAGCAGGAUUGUAAAAGCAGAGACGUGUGUUUCUUUGUGUUUCCUUUAAACCAGUUGGUUUUUGUAGACUGUGGACUGUAGACUGUUUAUUGGUAUUUUAAUAUAGAGGCAAAACAGCAGCUGGAUCGACAACGGUAGAUCAGAAGAAACCCCUGGUUGCAGAUUGGACUGGAACAAGCCAAGAAACCCUGACCUUCUGUCUUUAGUAACGUGUCUGCUAACUUUGUUCUACCUUUUUCUGUAGAAAUGGAAAGAGAAUUGCAGGAAUUAAGGGAAAUAGUGCAGCAGCUAAGAGUAGAUAAUGAACACCUUUUGCAGGAACGUGCAGAAGCUCAGGCUGCCCCUAGAGCACCUUUUGAGUCUAACAACCCUAGGUUUUCUAAUUCUAACCAUGUCCCAAUGUCCCUACUUCUCUGUGCCCAGGGAGAGGAAAUGUCCCGUUUUUAUGGGUAACACCGGGAUGAGCAUUAUGGAGUGGGUUGAGGGCGUCCGCUCUAGUAUGCGGGCCCGGCAUUUAGCUCCUGUUGAUCAAGCAUAUUUUAUCUAUGAUCACCUGGAUGGAGAAGCCAAAGAUGAGAUCAGAUAUAAGCCCAGAGAUGACAGGGAAGAUCCUGAAAGGAUUUUAACCAUUCUCCAAGAACUGUAUGGGUGUUCUCAUUCUUAUGUUGCUUUGCAGGAGAGCUUCUUUUCUAGAAAGCAGCGGGAGGGUGACUCUUUGCAGGAGUAUUCUCAUGCUUAAUUUUGCCUGAUGGAGAAAGUUGUGAAAAUUGCCCCUGAUGGGAUGUCUAAUUCUGCUAUUUUGUUAAGAGAUCAGUUUGUUGAACAUGUGCUUGAUUCUGCUCUCCGCAGGGAAUUGAAGCAGAUAGUCCGCCGCAACUCACACUCUACACUCUCCUAGACAUUCGAGGGGAAGCUAUUCAGUGGGAACGGGAAGGUAGGUCAUGUGAGGGCAGGGCAAGAAGCUAUUCUGUUCCAUCCUUGUGUGCUAUGCAGAGUUCCAGGGUGCAGGGCAGGGCAGAAGCGGUGUCCAGUAACCCCUCUAGUGGAGAAAUGGCAGAGUUGAGGGAAAUUAUGAAACGGCAACAAGAACAGCUUAACCAUCUUACAGAACGCCUCAUGCUCUUGCAACCUCCCCCGAGACACCCCUCUAACCGUAGUGGUCCAAUAAUUUGUAGACGCUGUCAACAACCAGGUCAUUAUGCAGGUAAUUGUGAUAAUGAAA
Molecule: long non-coding RNA, 2610 nt
Organism: Anguilla rostrata (American eel)
Lineage: Eukaryota; Metazoa; Chordata; Actinopteri; Anguilliformes; Anguillidae
Exons: 3
Source: RefSeq, a predicted model, not a curated record